GUGCUCACUUCGCCAGCACAUAUAAUAAAAUUGAAAUGAUACAGAGAUUAGCAUGGCCCCAAGAAAGAAUGACGUUUAAAUUCAUGCAGUGUUCCAUAUUCUC
This is a small nuclear RNA of Peromyscus maniculatus bairdii (prairie deer mouse), 103 nucleotides long. Lineage: Eukaryota; Metazoa; Chordata; Mammalia; Rodentia; Cricetidae. The record is from Ensembl.